CUAGGAGCGCUCUGCCGACGUCAGCUUUUGUCUCCAGUAUUUUCGGGGGCUGGUGGACGCGUGGGCGAUAGGGUGCUGUCCUUGGGGUGCUGUGUAUAUGGGAUGAUGACGCUUAUCAGCAUUAUCUAGUCCUUUCCACCCCGAAAUUCGCCCCGAUUAAAGACUGUGUUGCAUUAUCAGCAAAACUGGAUCACAAGUCUUUCGGUCGGAGAACUGGAAGGUCUGGGCAGAGUCGAGCAGAGGAGACCAUGAUGACUGCCUAGACUUGUGCUCAGUGCUGUGUUGGGGAGAACUGCUACAGACAAUACCUGAAAUUCCACCAAAGCGUGGAGAACUCAAAACGGAGCUUUUGGGACUGAAAGAAAGAAAACACAAACCUCAAGUUUCUCAACAGGAGGAACUUAAAUAACUAUGCCAAGAAUUCUGUGAAUAAUAUAAGUCUUAAAUAUGUAUUUCUUAAUUUAUUGCAUCAAACUACUUGUCCUUAAGCACUUAGUCUAAUGCUAACUGCAAGAGGAGGUGCUCAGUGGAUGUUUAGCCGAUACGUUGAAAUUUAAUUACGGUUUGAUUGAUAUUUCUUGAAAACUGCCAAAGCACAUAUCAUCAAACCAUUUCAUGAAUAUGGUUUGGAAGAUGUUUAGUCUUGAAUAUAACGCGAAAUAGAAUAUUUGUAAGUCUACUAUAUGGGUUGUCUUUAUUUCAUAUAAAUUAAGAAAUUAUUUAAAACUAUGAACUAGUUUCAUUAAUUGAAUUUGCUAAGUGGAGUUAUUUCUCAUUGCUAAACUGUUUUUUUUCAAAUUCUAGAUCUCUGCUAACUUUAGUAAAUGAACACUAAAGUGGUGAGCUUUGAUAAUGCAUUUUGUGGAUACAAAAUCAUCGCCUCAUCACUUUCUAGAAUGAAAGGCUGGGGGCAUUGCUCACCUUUUGCGUGAAGAAAAGACCUGUCCCUUAGAGCCAGUUUUUGCUUAAGGGGAGGACAGACCGUCGUCACCCAGUGGACCACGUGAAUGAAUGGAUGCAGUGCAUGCUUUAGAAGCACCGCAUACCUCCUUUUACAGGUACAGAGUAAGUGGUCUGGCUACUGAGGGAAAGAGUCAUGAUUUGAAUCCGAGUCUUCUGUAAGACAAUGACUUCAUGAAGGUGAAAAAUCAGUUUUAUGGUUAUUAAAGUAAAAAUUUACCUUGGGUAAAAAUGCCAUCUUUAUUUCAUUAAGUACUGGUUCUAAGUGACUUCCAAUAAGAUACAUUUUCUUCCUGUUUUGAAGUUGAUCCCCAUUGUGAAAAAUAUACAUUGUAGUGGUCAUGGAAAUGCGCCAUCCAUACUCCCUAAGGCAGGCUUGUUGCCCUAGUAUCAAGCAUGCCAGCAGCUUUCAAUGGUCAGCUUCUAGAAGGAUUGCCUCGGCUAUGGUGGCCUUGCUCAAAGCCAUGCCUCCUGAAGGGGCCCAAAUCCAGUGACUGUUGGAGGUGAGAAUAGAAAGGCCUGGCCACUUCAGCACGUGAGUGGUGGGCAACUCUGCUGGGCCCACCACAACUCCCUAUGGGGUUUAGGGACACUGUCUUUGGAUCUGCAUUGCAACUCAACUUAUACCUCUGCUCAGUCCUGUUUCCUUUCUCAGGUGUUGAUCGAAGGGUGUGCCUUCAUAGACCCCCUGCUAAACUGCACCUCAGUGUUUCUUGGAGAACCAAAUCUGUAACAUAUAUGCAUUAAAAAUUAAAGGCAGUACUAUAUUA
This 1730-nucleotide long non-coding RNA is filed under the name Homo sapiens (human). RNAcentral describes it as "non-protein coding lnc-C12orf73-2:2". The record is from RNAcentral. Lineage: Eukaryota; Metazoa; Chordata; Mammalia; Primates; Hominidae.